CCUGGCGCCCAUAGCGCGUUGGAACCACCCCUUCCCAUCCCGAACAGGACCGUGAAACAACGCCGCGCCAAUGAUAUUGCCCACUACGAGCAGGAAAGUAGGUCAGCGCCAGGC
Betaproteobacteria bacterium CG2_30_68_42 is the source of this 114-nucleotide non-coding RNA. Lineage: Bacteria; Pseudomonadati; Pseudomonadota; Betaproteobacteria. The record is from Rfam.